RNAcentral lists this unclassified non-coding RNA (358 nucleotides) under Hevea brasiliensis (rubber tree). Lineage: Eukaryota; Viridiplantae; Streptophyta; Magnoliopsida; Malpighiales; Euphorbiaceae. The record is from RNAcentral.
GGACUCGGAUAGGCAUGGUUGCAUUACUAUAUAUCCUUGAGUCAUUUGCAAAUAAUGCUUCAUCAGUCUCCUUAUAAUUUGCUUCUAAGCUCACUAAUUUGUUCAUGUUCUAUUUAUGCCUUAUGACAGUGUUAGUUCUUUUCAAAAGUAUAAUGUGCAUUAUAUGCAUUUUGUUUGGUUCUUCAAUAUCUUAUUCCAUCUUUAAAAAUUCCCUCGUCCCUAAAUCAUAUUUGAUAUGAGGUAUUACUUUGUGGUACUACAUCAAAAGCACUUGGAUACUUUACAAAUCAGUGCAAAUAUGUACAAUGUGCUCUUAAUUUAUUAAUUAAUAUUAUUCUUUCAGUUUCUUCAAAGCCAG